AUAUGCUAAAGAGAAGCCAUAAAAUGCUUCCUUUAAGUCAAAAUGUGAAAGUUUUGCACUGAUUAAGAAGAGAAAAAACAUCAUAUGCUGAGGAUGCUAAGUUCUAAGGCUGUAUGGGAAGCAUGGCUGGGGAGGCCUCAUGAAACUUAUAAACAUGGUGCAAGGUGAAGAGGAAGGAGACAUGCUUUACAAGGCCACAGCAGGAGGAAGACAGUGAAAGGGGCGGUGCUACACACUACAAACAACCAGAUCUUAUGAUAACAUUUACUUACUGCUUCACUGACAUAAGAACCAGCCCUCGAGAAGAAUAUACAGAGGAGUAGUUGCCAGCAACCUUCCUGCCAACUUGGCCCAAGACUGGAAGACGAUUUAAACUUCAAGCAGUAUUGACUUACCUAUGAAUCACUUAGUAUAUAUGAGCUUCUCAGAGAAGAAAUCAUAAACAUUGAGAGUUGCCAUGCAUAAUGAUGACCUUCAACACAUAUGAAAGAAAUCACCGAGGACUGGAAGUUGGCUGAUAGAACUGACAUCAGAAAGACCAUUCAAAACGAAGAGCCAGUGUCAAG
Homo sapiens (human) is the source of this 566-nucleotide long non-coding RNA. The record is from Ensembl. Lineage: Eukaryota; Metazoa; Chordata; Mammalia; Primates; Hominidae.